This 253-nucleotide ribosomal RNA is filed under the name uncultured bacterium. Its description in RNAcentral is "partial 16S ribosomal RNA". It matches the Rfam family "Bacterial small subunit ribosomal RNA", at positions 524 to 776 of the family's 1533-position model. The record is from RNAcentral.
AACGUAGGAGACAAACGUUAUCCGGAGUUACUGGGCGUAAAGGGCGUGUAGGUGGUUGCGUAAGUCUGGCGUGAAAUUUUUCGGCUUAACCGGGAAAGGUCGUCGGAUACUGCGUAGCUAGAGGACGGUAGAGGCGUGUGGAAUUCCGGGUGUAGUGGUGAAAUGCGCAGAUAUCAGGAGGAACACCGGUGGCGAAGGCGGGUCUCUGGGCCGAUACUGACGCUGAGGAGCGAAAGCGUGGGGAGCGAACAGG